UAUAAUUUAUAAAAAAAAAAAUUCUAACAAUGAAAGAAUUUUAUAUUUUUUUAAUACUAUUUAUAUUGAUAUUAAUUACUGAAACAAAAUUCAAUUCAAGAUUCAAAACUGAUAUAUUGAAUAGACUUAUUGCAAAUGAUGGAUGGAAAAAUUUAAAAGAUGUGUCUUGUAUUGCAUAUUUUCAAAAAGCUUAUUAUUUGGAAGAGCUGCUUGAAACAACUGAACUAAUUAAUUGCAAUAAUCGAAUUCGAUUAUUGACUUUAUUCUUAGCUUGUUCUUACGUAAGAGAUUUAAAAACACUAUUUUUCAUAUUCAUGGAAUUUAGAAAACACUGUAGCAGUUUGAAUAAAAAAUCUGAUCCAAAAGCAACUGGAUAUGAUUGUGCUAUAGAGUUAUUGAAAAAUUUACAAAAAAUGCCAUCAUUAGCAACAUUGAUGAAAGAAACGCUUUAUGUACUGGACUAUUUGCAUACUGAUCCAUGGAAAGAUGCGAAAAAGGAUAAUUUUAUUUUAAAAAAAUUGUUAUUAAUUUUAGAAAAUUUUAACGAAAAGAUAAGAAACUAUCUUCCUUUGAAAAAUGAUUCAAAAGUUACUAAAAAUUUUUUUGAAUUUAUUCAAACAUAUUUUAUUCGAAAUAAUACUGACAUUAAAUAUUAUUGUUUUACGGUUUGUCAAUUUGUAUCAAUUGAUACAGAAUUUCUAUGGCUAAAUAUGAUUAAAGAAUAUAACUACAUAACUAAUAAUGACAAUACUUUGCAGUUUUAUGAUUAUCUCAGUCAAAAAGUCAAUUUAAUAUUUAAUUCUAUAAUUAUAAAUAAAUUUCAUAAACUGGGGUUUCAGCAUGACCCAAAUACUCUACAAAUUGGAAUACCACUACCAAAUAAGUAUAUAACAGUCGAUUUACAAUUUUAUACAAGACCUAACGAGACUUCUACAACAAUUGAAACCGUGUCACAAAGAAAUGUUUUAGAAAACCAAUGGAUUCUAGAGCUUAUUGAUUCAUUUAAUAAAGAUUUGGAUAAUGUAUCUGAACCUAUUAAAGAACUGCAACUAAUCGAUUUUAUCGGACAAGACUUGGUUGAUGUAUCUGAAAACAAUAAGGAUAUGCAGCAAAUCAAUUGUAUCGAGCAAGAUUUGGUUAAUGUAUCUGAACCCAAUAAUGAACUGCAAUUAAUCGAUUUUAUCGGAAAAGAUUUGGUUAAUGUAUCUGAACCUAUUAAAGAACUGCAACUAAUCGAUUUUCUCGGAAAAGGAUUAAAUCCUGAUUAUUCAUAUGAUGAUAUGUCAGAACCGAUGGAAACGGACGAAAAUAGAGAAAAUUAUACCAAAUAUCUUUAAUCAAUUUGGUUAAUGUAUCUGAAACCAAUAAAGAACUGAAACCACAUGAUUUUGCUCGGAAAAGAUAAAAAGUCUCAUUUCAAGAUGAAUAAUUUUUUUUGAUUUUUGGAAUAAUUGCGAGAUACAUAAAAUAUACAAUUUAUUUUAGCUUCGAUGCGAAGUUGAGAAGUGUCUAUUACCACUUUUUCUCAGCUCUCACUGAACUGAUUUCUUUCAACGAUACGUCAAAAGAUCACAAAUCGUAUCUAGUCGAAGGCAUUACCCUCAAAAAUUGAAAAAAUUUCUCUCGUUUCCCGUAAAUGAGGGAAAUCUCCAAAAAAAUUACAAAUGUUAAAAUCACUAAUUUUUUCAAUUUUUUUUACUUAAAACUACCAUAACUUUUUCAAAAAUAAACAAAUCAAUAUGAUUUUUUUUUAUAGAUGUUUGAUGUCUUUACCUAUCAUUUGGUAUAUUUUUUUUAUAAAUUUAACCCUUUACUAGCCCACAGGCUUAAUGCAAAACUUACGCCUCGGAUCAAAGAUUUAACGGACAUAAACAUUGGAACUUGGAAAGUGCGUUCUCUGUAUAGGACUGGAGCUUUGACAACAUCCCUAUCGUUCCUUGAACGAUAUGGGAUGGAUAUUACCGCGAUUCAAGAAGUGAGAUGGACAAGCUCAGGAAGCUUGAAAGCUCAAGGAAAGACAUUAUUAUACAGUGGCGGAGACAAACAUGAAUGUGGGGUAGGUUUUGUAAUAAGGGAUAGCAUUGUUUCAAAUAUAGUGAGGUUCAAACCAAUAAGCGAUCGGCUAUGCUACAUAGAACUCAAAUGCAAAUAGUACAACAUGUUCCUGAUCAACUGUUAUGCAUCGACAGAAGAUAAAAGUGAUGAUAUAAAAAAUAAAUUCUAUGAGGAUUUAAACUUGGUGUGUGACAUUCUACCAAAUGACAAAUCGAAAAUAGUAUUAGGGGACUUCAAUGCGAAGAUUGGAAAGGAGAACAUAUGUAAACCCAUAAUUGGAUCCGAAAGUCUACAUGGAAUUACGAAUGAUAAUGAAAAUAAAUUAAUCACGUUCGCCAUAGCUAGAAAUAUGAUAAUAAGUAACACGUACUUUCCUCACAAGAAUAUACACAAACAAACAUGGAUCUCCCCAUGUGAGUUAGUAAGAAACCAAAUAGAUCACAUGUUAGUGAACAACUGGAUAAAAUCAUGCGUCAAUGAUAUAAGAAGUAUGCGAGGAAGUAGUGCGAUGUCAGAUCAUUUCCUAGUGAAAGCGAAAAUCGCUCUUAGAAUAUAAACAAAAUGGAAGAAGAAGGAUAAGUACAAAGAAAAAAUCAACAAGGACUUACUAAAAUCCAUAACAGCUAAGGUUAUCAAGAAAAAACAACGUCGGAAUUACGAAACAUACAAGAAAUGGUUGACUUGAAUGAAGCAUGGGAGAAAGUAGAACAAGUAAUCAAAAGAUUAGCAAAAUAAGUGCUUGGAUAUAUACCAAAAAAGGCAAAGAAAACACGGUUUAACGAGGAGUGUAAGGCUGCCAAGAGGAAAAAGACAAAGCACGAACUAAGGUUUUACAGAACCCUAGUGUGGACAAUAAAAGAUUGCUAGCACUAAAGCAGAGGAUUGCAAAAAAGGUAAUCAGAAGGAAUAAGAGAUUGUGGGAAAAAGAACGUAUACACACCACAGAAAACAACAGGAAUAGCAACACCAAAAUAUUUUUCGAAAAAGCAAAUGAAGUGAAACAUGGAUUUAAAACUAUACCAACUGUAAUGAAGAAAAAUGACAGAUCGUCAUUAACAGAGAGCAAAGAAAUUGCAUGUGAAUUUAAAGAUAUGUUCGAAAAAUUGUUGAAUCAACCAAAUGAAAAUAUUACUGCACUUGAAUACAUUACUGUAGAACAGCUGUUUGAAAAACCAUCUGAAGAAGAAGUGAAGAUAGGACUAGAUAUGCUAAAAAUUAAAAAAGCACCGGGAGAUGAUGAAAUAGUAUCAGAAUGCCUAAAAAAGGGAGGCCAAGGCCUGCUAAGCCAACUCCACAAACUUAUGAACACAAUCUGGGAACAUGAGGAGAUACCCGAAGCAUGGCGUAUAUCCAUUAUAUGCCCUAUACACAAAAAAGGAGACAUCAUGGAGAUUGAAAAUUAUAGACAGAUCUCACUACUCAAUACAACAUAUAAACUACUGUCUAACAUACUACUGACCAGAAUCAACCCUUAUAUCAAAGAAAUAAUUGGAGAAUACCAAGCUGGUUUUAUGAAAGGGAAAUCAACAAUAGAUCAAAUACACAUAAUAAAACAAGCUGUUGAGAAGAGUCAUGAAUUUGAUAAAGAUAUACACCUACUGUUUAUUGACUUCAAAGCAGCGUACCAGUUAGGUAUACCAGCCAAGUUAACCAUACUAAUAAAAACGUUUUCAUAUAAUUCAAAAAGUAAAGUCAGUUUUGGAGGAAAUUUAUCGGGAGAGUUCACUGUAACGACUGGUCUCAGUCAAGGUGCUGCUUUAUCACCUGCACUGUUCAACAUCGCCCUAGAAUCAGUCAUAAGAAUAGUAAUGUCCCAAGCCAAGGGCAUAGAAAUAAAAGACAAUCAGCAUCUAACAGUAGUUGCUUAUGCGGAUGAUAUAAUCUUAUUAGCCGAAACAGAGGACGACCUAAAAAACACAGCGGGUAUCUUAAUGGAGGAGGGGAAAAAGAUUGGCUUAAGAAUUAAUGAGACAAAGACAAAAUACAUGAUAGUGUCUAGACAAAAUCAUAGAACAGA
Molecule: RNA transcript, 4072 nt
Organism: Daktulosphaira vitifoliae (grape phylloxera)
Lineage: Eukaryota; Metazoa; Arthropoda; Insecta; Hemiptera; Phylloxeridae
Exons: 10
Source: RefSeq, a predicted model, not a curated record